Molecule: non-coding RNA, 106 nt
Organism: Ophidiomyces ophidiicola
Lineage: Eukaryota; Fungi; Ascomycota; Eurotiomycetes; Onygenales; Onygenaceae
Source: the annotation of a RefSeq genome assembly
GCCUCUGUGGUCUAGUUGGUCAUGACGCCGGUCUCAUAUUCGCUUUAUGACGAGCAGGAAACUGCUUGCAAUCCGGAGGUCGCCAGUUCGAUCCUGGCCGGGGGCA